CACGUAGGGCGCGAGCGUUGUCCGGAAUUAUUGGGCGUAAAGAGCUCGUAGGCGGCCUGUUGCGUCCGCUGUGAAAGCCCGGGGCUUAACCCCGGGUCGGCAGUGGAUACGGGCAGGCUAGAGGCAGGUAGGGGAGAAUGGAAUUCCCGGUGUAGCGGUGAAAUGCGCAGAUAUCGGGAGGAACACCGGUGGCGAAGGCGGUUCUCUGGGCCUUACCUGACGCUGAGGAGCGAAAGCGUGGGGAGCGAACAGG
This 253-nucleotide ribosomal RNA is filed under the name uncultured bacterium. RNAcentral describes it as "partial 16S ribosomal RNA". It matches the Rfam family "Bacterial small subunit ribosomal RNA", at positions 524 to 776 of the family's 1533-position model. The record is from RNAcentral.